CUACUUCAGGCAGUCCAAGCGUAUGGAAAUUACAUUAGAACUUCAGCAAAGUGCCCAGCUGCAUAACACAGAAGCCGGCACUCAGAUUGAUAGGCAAAUAAGCCAGCUUGUGCAGGGGCCUCUGGGUGGCAGCUCUGGGCUCCUGGGUGUUGGACAACUAUAGGCAACACUGACAUGGAGCAUGGGCAGAAAAUAGCACACUUUUCUUCUGCGCAACUGUUGCUUUCUCAUGAUCUUCAGGAAUUUUACCUGGAUAAAUCCCCAAAUGACAUUCUAAGCAUCUGUCCAAAUGGUUGUUGAUCAUUAAAAUUGCACUGCAAGGAGACAGACCUAAAUGAACACAUAGUGAGAAAGGAAAAUAAGCAUGACACAUGGAAAGAAAUGUCUCCCCUCCUUCACCAUAGCUUUCCCUUCAAGCCCUGCUGGAACAGAUGAAAGCAUUGGACUGGACUAUAAAUUUCAGAGCUGUCUCUGAGAUGAAGAAAUGUCUGAAGAUCAAGAUCCGAGCAAGGAAAACGAAAGACGCACUAUGACCAGAAUAGAACUGGACAUCUAAUUGAAAAGUACACAGUGCGGAAAGGUUUUUCAAAAACACUUCAGAACAAACAGCAGAUGAAUUCUUAACUCUGUUAAUCACUGACAUCCCUAGCGACUAAUCAGAGAAUUUUUUACUCAGCUAAACAGGCAGAAACUUAAAGUGAAGAUGAGGCGUGAAGAAAUUGAUCAUAGGAGAAAAUCAUCUCAGACUCAUUUCCCUGCAAAACUGCCUGUGGAGCAUUUCUAAUCUGCAUUGCUGCUCCAAGGGCUCUGGCUCCUGGAGGGAUUUGCCUGCCUGGAUUGAGGGCGGCAUCCAGUCGACUUUGGGCUGGAUAGGAUUUCCUUUCAUUUCAUCUCACAGAGGAUCACAUGAGCUGAACGUGACUAAAUAUGAGAUAUGAGUAGGAACAGUUUUGCUAUCAUCUCUGAUUUUGUUACAGGUUCUUAUGAAUGAAGUUUCUAUGCACAAUGUGUUGUUUUAAUACAACAGUCUAAGUAGUAAAAUCUGCUAGGAAAGAAGUUUGAAAAAACUUAAGCAACUUGCUUGAAAGAAAUAGCUAUUGAAGUACUUAAUUCAAUUAUCAACUCAUAAAGUCUAAAUUGACAAGGAUUCAAAUAGCAGUUAUAAGCAUUAGUUUCAUGACAUGGACAUUUUUUGUGGAACAGAAUACAUAUAGUUUGUAGAACCUUAGGCAAAUCUUCACUGUGGGUUAAAUUUAUUUAAAGAGCUUUUCUGAUGACCUUUGAACCUCAAUGAUUUCUCCAGAUGUACAGAAGUGAACAAUGUAAAAAUCUCGCUGUUUCAGCAGAACUGAUUCCAGCUGGCUGUGAGCUGGAUGUGCAAGUCAUUGGUUACAGCUGUGUUUCGAUUUAUGUGAUGGUUGAAAAAAUAAAUUACCCGAUUAGAUGGCUAGAAAGAGGACUCUUUGUUUUGCCCUUGUGUGGGGACUGAAAGUGUUUAUGAUGCUGUUUUCUACGCAGUCUUUGCAAAGUACGCUGGACAAAUAGACUUAUUCAGUGCUCCUAAGAAAUGUUGCAUAUUCAGCUUUAAUUCUUUGUUUAAAAAAAAACUAUUUUUUCGCAAUGCUGUCAUCCAGCAAACGUCUUGAAAAUGUAGCAUUUAAGAGAAGCAGUAUGUGUUUUGUCCUGUGAGCAAUGCAUGUACUAAUCGAAACAGUUUUGCUUUGUUUAAUGUGUGCUUUAGUCCAUAUCUUUGUCAGAAAUAGGAAUGGGAAUACAUCUCUCCUAAAUUCAAUCCUUUGUGGUAGCAAAAUACCUGAACAGAAAUUUGAAUGCAAAU
Molecule: long non-coding RNA, 1837 nt
Organism: Ochotona princeps (American pika)
Lineage: Eukaryota; Metazoa; Chordata; Mammalia; Lagomorpha; Ochotonidae
Exons: 9
Source: RefSeq, a predicted model, not a curated record